AUUUAAAUAGUUUAAAAAACAUUACAUUUUCAUUGUAAAAUUGAAUCAAUUCUUUAA
Molecule: transfer RNA, 57 nt
Filed under: Aspidomorpha difformis
Lineage: Eukaryota; Metazoa; Arthropoda; Insecta; Coleoptera; Chrysomelidae
Description: tRNA-Glu
Source: RNAcentral